Molecule: non-coding RNA, 13157 nt
Organism: Podarcis lilfordi (Lilford's wall lizard)
Lineage: Eukaryota; Metazoa; Chordata; Lepidosauria; Squamata; Lacertidae
Source: the annotation of a GenBank genome assembly
AGUGAAACUUAACUCGAGUCUUUGGCGCGAGGGAGCUAUGGCUGCUGCUGGGUAUUCCGACCAGAAUCUUUCUGAUGUAGCCACUUGCUCCAUCUGCAUGGAAUAUUUUAAGGAUCCAGUGAUCAUCCCAGAAUGUGGGCACAACUUCUGCCGGUCCUGUUUGGUCCAGUGCUGGGGGGAAUCGGAGGUAGAGGUUUCCUGCCCUCAGUGCAGAGAAACAGUCCAGCAAAAUAAUCUCAUCCCCAACCGGCAACUGGCAAACCUCUUACAAUUAAUUAAGAAUCUCAGCGUUCAAGGAAGGAAAGAAGAAGAAAGAAAAGGAGGAGUCUGUGAGGAGCAUCAGGAACCCCUCAAGCUCUUCUGUAAAGUCCAUGAAGCCCCCAUCUGUGUGGUGUGUGACAGAUCCAGGAUACAUGAAAAUCACAAGGUGAUUCCUCUGAAGGAGGCUUUGGAGGAAUACAAGGUAGGAGAUCCCUGGAUCUUGAGGGGAAGAAAUAGCUUUGGAUUCUUCUUUUUAAUUCUCAGAUCCAAAUUAGGCAUGGCAUUAAGUGGUGGUUGUUUGUUAUGUAAAAAGCAGCCAAGGGGAAGCCUGAGGGCUCCUGGGAUGGCUGGGAGGAGGAACUUGAAGUCUUUCUCUCUGCUGGGUGUGACAAAGGGAUCUUUCCUUGAAAUAAUCACAGCAACUUCAAAAAUUUGAACUGGUACCAUGGUGGGGAGAGAAAGGGUUAACCUCAUCCACAUCCCCCAGCAAGGUUGCUUUGUACUUAUUAAGAACACUACAAGUGUAAAUUGCACAUACACAACUAAGUACAUGUAUCCUUUGGCUAGCAGGAUCCAUCCUCAGUGCCAGAGAGCAGUAAGGGGUCAGCUGGGGGGAGGGGGGGCUGAGGGCCAGGAAUUGACCAGAUAGUGCAGGAUCCACCCCCCCCAAGUAUCUGUUGGAAGCAGAUUUAGGAGUGGGGGCGGAAGCACCUAAUGCUGGGGAGCAGGCUUAUUCUGGGGGUGCUGUGGGGCCUGUGCAAUGAGGUUUCAGCGGGGGGGGGGUCUGCUGAGGAUCUCCUUCCACCCCAAAUGGCAAAGGACUCAAUGGUUCAGAGUAGCAUCUGCAAACACAAAUAUAUAUAAUGCCUUUUAAUCCCUUUUAAAAAAUCACUUGUUCUACUACAGUGGUUCAAAAAUGCUCCUGUGCCAUGCAAUGCGAAUAAUGUCAGCUCUGCAAGCAAGGGGUGAUUUAAUUGGGUCCCUGAGCCCCACAGGGGUGCCGCAGAAAAGAAGGUAGUUGGUCCAGAAAGGGUGAAAACCUAUGGACUUUUAUUUCCUUCAGUAUACUACUUUGCAAGGCCACUGGGUGCAAGAAGCCAGUAUAAUAUCUAUCAACUCUCUGUCUGUCUCAAUCAAACCUGAGUUUUUCAUUUUCUCUUUAGGGAGAGAUUUGUCGCCACGUGGAAAUUCUGAGGAAAGAGAGAGAGGAAGUUCUGGCCUAUCAAGCAGCCCUGGACAAGGAAAGCAAAGACCUCCUUGUAAGUGUCUUUAUUGUUACUAGACAGGGAACAAGCAUUUGAAAAAUCAAGUCAGGACUGAGGAGGGAUGGGGAAAUUUUCCCAUUUCAGCUUCUCUGCAUUUCUCAUUUUUCCAUUUUGUCUGCUUAUUCAUUUAUUAUUCUGAAAAGGAAUCAGAUGUUAGGGUAGCUACCUCCUUGUAUAAAUAUUUUAAUACGUACCUUACCCUAAUAAAUACAUUUUUUGUGUGAACAUUACUUGGCUGGGUCAACCUUGAAAAAUUCAGAGGUGUGAAUUUCUAAGGAUUGCUCUGUUUCGGUCUCCAUAUUUUUUCAGCAAUUGCAAAUUAGGCAAGUUCACCUUUUAAUGCAGCUUGUUUAGUCAUUUAGUCAUGUCUGACUCUUUGUGACCCCAUGGACCAGAGCAUGCCAGGCACUCCUGUCUUCCACUGCCUCCCGCAGUUUGGUCAAACUCAUGCUGGUAGCUUCGAGAACACUGUCCAACCAUCUUGUCCUCUGUCGUCCCCUUCUCCUUCUGCCCUCCAUCUUUCCCAACAUCAGGGUCUUUUCCAGGGAGUCUUCUCUUCUCAUGAGCUGGCCAAAGUAUUGGAGCCUCAGCUUCAGGAUCUGUCCUUCCAGUGAGCACUCAGGGCUGAUUUCCUUAAGAAUGGACAUGUUUGAUCUUCUUGCAGUCCAUGGGACUCUCAAGAGUCUCCUCCAGCACCGAAAUUCCAAAGCAUUAAUUCUUGAACGAUCAGCCUUCUUUAUGGUCCAGCUCUCACUUCCAUACAUCACAACUGGGAAAACCAUAGCUUUAAUUAUACGGACCUUUGUCGGCAAGGUGAUGUCUCUGCUUUUUAAGAUGCUGUCUAGGUUUGUCAUUGCUUUCCUCCCAAGAAGUAGACGUCUAUUAAUUUUGUGACUGCUGUCACCAUCUGCAGUUAUCUCUCACUGCCUCCAUUUCUUCCCCUUCUAUUUGCCAGGAGGUGAUGGGACGAGUGGUCAUGAUGUUAGUUUUUUUGACGUUGAGCUUCAGACCAUAUUUUGUGCUCUCCUCUUUCACCCUCAUUAAGAGAUUAUUUAUUUCCUCCUCACUUUCUGCCAUCAAGGUUGUGUCAUCUGCAUAUCUGAGGUUGUUGAUAUUUCUUCCGGCGAUCUUAAUUCCGGCUUGGGAUUCAUCCAAUCCAGCCUUUCGCAUGAUGAAUUCUGCAUAUAAGUUAAAUAAGCAGGGAGACAAUAUACAGCCUUGUCGUACUCCUUUCCCAAUUUUGAACCAAUCAGUUGUUCCAUAUCCAGUUCUCACUGUAGCUUCUUGUCCCACAUAGAGAUUUCUCAGGAGACAGAUGAGGUGAUUAGGCACUCCCAUUUCUUUAAGAACUUGCCAUAGUUUGCUGUGGUCGACACAGUCAAAGGCUUUUGCAUAGUCAAUGAAGCAGAAGUAGAUGUUUUUCUGGAACUCUCUAGCUUUCUCCAUAAUCCAGCGCAUGUUUGCAAUUUAGUCUCUGGUUCCUCUGCCCCUUUGAAAUCCAGCUUGCACUUCUGGGAGUUCUUGGUCCACAUACUGCUCAAGCCUGCCUUGUAGAAUUUUAAGCAUAACCUUGCUAGCAUGUGAAAUGAAUGCAAUUGUGUGCUGGUUGGAGCAUUCUUUGGCACUGCCCUUCUUUGGGAUUGGGAUGUACACUGAUCUUCUCCAAUCCUCUGGCCACUGCUGAGUUUUCCAAACUUGCUGGCAUAUUGAGUUAAUGCAGAUAGAUUGAGUUUAUUUCCCAUUUUCAUUUAUUAUGUGAAUAGCAGUCAAGGAGGAGGCUGAGGACUUGUGAGCUGAUAGGGUGCAAGCAGUUCAAUUCAAAUCCUGAUUUACUAUAAAUAUUACUUUAAAAAUUGUCUUUCCUCCUCUGUUUCUGUUGCCUUUCUACACCUAAAUGGCACUGAGGCAUCUGAUCAAGACCUGUAUUUUAAAAAGAGCUUAAAAAAUAUAUUUGUAAAUGUUUGUAUCUCUCAUGCCAGGCAUAAAGCAGCUGGCUGGGUGCUUUGGCAGAUGUUUAUCUUCCUAAACAGGGCCCCUCUGAUCUAUAAGCAGUGCCUCAGGGUUGUAAAAGGAAAUUAGAGGCUGGGAGCAAAAGGUCACACUGACCAUACAAAUUACAGAAUACAAUCAAGCUGCAAAAAACACUAAUUAAGAGUUGGUAAAUAGUAAGUUUUAUUGUUUAACAGAAGACUCGAGCCAUAUUUUCAUAAGGUUAAAGGGCAAGAGCUUUUAGAAACAGCAGCUGGCUUGAAAGGGAGUUGUAAAUUGAAGAGGUUGCUUUUGAAGCUAUUUCCUUUUACUUUGAAAAGGCCUUUCCUUCUAAAAAUCUAUCUAUGUUAUGUAUGAAAUAUAUUGGCUUAAAUGUAAUUAUGCAAAGGAUUUAGAAAGUAAGAAAUGUUAGAUUCUUAUGUUAGAUUCUUAUUUCAUUGAUGGUGUGUGAGAAGGUGAACCCAAGAUCUCUGUUUAAGAUAAAAAUUAAAACCAUUAGCCAUCUGUUCUGGAGUGAAUAGGGCAAUAGGGCAAUAGGGCAAAAAGGUUAUCUGAUAAUUAAGGUGCCUGGUCGAGGCAAAUGUAAGAUAUAUGGCUACUUGUUUGCCAUUUAUGGAUAGAAGGAAAUAUAGCUCUUUGUCUCCCAUAAAAGGUAAUAGGAAAUGGGUGUAUCUUUUAUGAUUGGUUCUAGCAAAUAGCCACUAGGAAUUUCAACCAGGCUGAUUGGACAGAGGCAGCCAAAGGAGGAGCAAGGGGGCUGGGCUGAGGGAAUAUAAGUGCUGGCCAUCAGGGCUGGAAGGGCAGAGCUUUGGUAUCCAUAUACCACUGUGUCUCUCAUUUAUUUGUCUGACAAAUAAAUUAUUAUUUUAAUUUCUCUAUUGCUGCGUUGAAUAUUUCAUUCCAGCUAAGCGUUAACCACAAGCAGGGUGCUACAGCACCAGUCUAAACUGAGAGGUGUUUUAUAUCCCUGGAUGUUCUCUGAACAACUAUGAACUCUGGUUAUGCCAUACCCAAAAACAUGGAGGGAACAUCCAUGGCUAGAAAAAAUGCUUCUUGCUUUAGGAUGUAGCCCUCUGCAAAACAGAAGUCAACAGAAAUAGCAAUGGAGAGGGCCUCCCCUCAAAAUAGAUGUUUACUUCUUUAGCCACUGGAGGUUGGUUUCAUGUCUCUGAAAAAUCAGAAGUGUCCUCCCUAUGGAAUUCUCACUAUUCUCUUCCUGAUGUUUUGAAAACUGACCAUCUUCCACACUCAGACCUCCUCUUUUCUUGCAGAAAUUAACAGAAUUGGAGAGGCUGAAGAUUGUGGAGAAGUUCAGACAACUGCGCCAGUUUCUGGAAGAACACGAAAAACAUCUGCUGACUCAUGUGGAAGAGGUGGAGAAGGAGAUUGCAGGGAGAAGGGAUGAGCAGCAGGCCAGACUCUCCAGGAAACUCUCCUCUCUUGAGAAGAUCAUCCAGGAGAUGGAGGAAAAGAGUCAGCAGCCAGCGAGUGAACUCCUGCAGGUAAGACGGAGGCAGGAACAGCCCAAGGCUCUGCUCCAGGAAAAGGCUGCCUCCAAUCCUGUCUGUGCCCCUUUCAUGUAUGCAAGGAGUGCAGGGGCUCAGAUGAUGGAGCCUCUGGUCAGGUUUGUAAUGGACAGGAAGACCCAAGAGAACUGGGAUGCUUAACUAACCAGAAUGCAGACUAGAGAUUCUUCUGUGUUCUUGAUGGAACAGGAGUUGAUCUUCUGCUCUUUGCUGAUGCUUUGUCUCUGAAUGCCUUUCAGCUGAGGGGGGCUUCGCUGCGGAUGCGUUCAGGUCUCCUUCCGACAUGAGCCAGUCUCUUGACCAAGCUUCUCUUCCAGUUCCCUCCACAACUUCUGGGUUGAUCACCUUCCCCAUGGAUACAGAUUGGCCCAAAAUGGUGCUCAGUCACAGUGAGCAAAGAGCAAGACAGAGGGACUCAUCCAGACUGCUGCUUGUCCCAGCCCUUUCCUCCAGGAAAACCCACUGUUUACUGCUGAAUUAGAGCAAACCUCAGCCAGGUUUUCUCUGGAUUGACGUUUGCUUUGAUGUUGCACUAAGGAGCAGGUUUUUCCUGAGGGAAAGCGGCAGGGCAAAGACAAAACCACUUGGACUCGUGUUUUCUGGGCACAGGAAAAGCAGAAGUGUGGAUGAGCCCAAAGAAACACUGAGCUGUUUUAUUACCCCUCUGGAGGCAUUUUAUGCUGCAGGUGCUUUUCUUUACUUCCAGAUGGAAAAUAGAAUUUGAAAUUUGGGGACUGGGACAGUGCCCUGGCAGGAUUAUCCCGUAGGCUUAUGUAUGUCUGAAUCACACAAUGCAAACUGCAUUAAAGUUAUUAAAUUAUGGAUAUGUGGAGAACUUGAAAUCGGAACAAUUAAUAAUUUCAGAUUGGAAAAAUAAAAGCUGUGAGAAACCCAAACUGGCUGAUUCCACCAUCCCUACCCAAAACCUUGGCAUGUGCCAGGCAGACUGACAUCUGAGGGCCAGGCUGUUCCUCCACUCCAGGGUCUGAGGGGGUCUUCCUAGUGUGGCCUGUAGUGUGCAGUGAAUUCCCUUCUCUUUUCCCCUCUAGGAUGUGAGAAGGACCUUGCAGAGGUAAGUGGAUCUGGCUCAUUUCCAUUAGCAUCACUCUUUGAAGCUGAGAUGCAAGAACCUCAGACAAGGCCCUCCAGGGGCUGCAGGGGGGAGACUGUAGGACUCACUCCCUGCAGCACCUCACAGGUGAAAGUAGAGCCCCCUCUUCUGAACUUGUAGCCCCCCAACUCUCCCUCCAAGGUUCAAGGUCAGCUGCCUCCUCCCUCCCUCCCCACAUCACUUCACACAGGGAUGGGGGCUCUUUUCUUUCUCUUGCACUUUCUGUCCAUGGACUUUUUGGUAAUUUCAAACAUCUAGAAGAGAAAGUGCCAAAGAUGCUUGGGAAGAGCUUAGGAUGUACCAACAGAUUUCAAUGUCCAAGUAGCAUCUUGUCCAAGUAGCAGCCACCCAACUCUUGGCAGCUUUGGACAUCACUCACAUCCUCUGGAGAAGCUCAGGGAGGGAGGGGUUGCAGGCAUUCCACCUCAGGGGUCUGGUUCUUAAGUCCUGGGACCUUCCCAGAAAGCUGUUAGGGGGCAGCAUUCUUUGAAGCCAUGGGAGCCCUCCGGUGGUGUCGCUUGGGGUUACAUCUUGUCCCUUGUGCUGUUUAGCAUCCUUAUGAAGCCACUGACCAGGUCUUGGAGGUGGGUGUCAAGAGAUGAAGCUGAAUCCUGAAAAUUACCUGUUGGGAAAUGAACUUCAACUUUGUUCACGUUACUGAGAUGUCCUGCAAGAAUUAGGGAGAUGGGGCCACAAUGGGGCCAUUCAUUGUUUUUCUUUUCACCAGGUAUGAGGAAAGAGAGAGUCCAGAGAAGCCACUGGCUUUCCCUCCAGAACUGAGGAACAGGAUCUUGGAAUCCUGUGAUCUAAAUAACCUUGUGGAGCAUAGAAUGAAACAAUUUAAAGGUAAUGAAAAAUGGCUGCCAGGAUUUCACCCUGGGAAUUCUGUAACUUCUUCAGAACUGAAAAUGCCAGGCUCUUACUGCAUGGAAUUGAGCAAUCCCAGGAUACCUUCCUUCUUGGUGCUCCAGCCUUCAUUUCCUGUCCCCCCAAAUGGCCCAUGUAUAUUGUGACGCUGGAUCCUGUAAAGAAAGCCUGAACCAGAGUGUAGAGCAAAGUCAGGAUUUUUUCCUCCUAUGUGCUUUUGUUUACAGUUAUAUGAAACCUCCUUUUCCUUGUGGUUCCCUGUCUGCACAAUCUGGGGUUCUCCUGCUCUGAAUGGAGUCAAAGGGCAUUAAGAAGCCCCCAGUUCCCCCUCUGCCUCCUGCUCAGGCUUGUUUCUCAGCCGUGGAGCCAAGGCCUGAGCCGUCUCCUCCUCAGACGUCCCCCUGCAGCUGCCAUAUCUAGGGCUUCAGCCUUCAAGAUCUCCUGAGAGUUCCCCCACUGAGGAUGGAAGCAAGAGUACAUGAGCCCCAAAGGGCACAAUUAUGCUUGUUAAGAACCUUAAAGAUUUGUAGAAGGUUUGUGAGGAAGGGUUUCCUUUUGCACGAGAGCUCUGCCAGUCCUUCUACAGCAACCUUUGCUUCUACACGUGUUUCACAAUUUUGCCCCCCCCCCCCCCCACUUUACUUGGGGAAGAUGUUAAGGCUGCCUCCAUCUCCCCUCUGCCUCCUUUUACGGGAUUCCUAUUGCUCUGCCUCCCCUCCAGUCCUCCAAUAUAGAGCCCAAUUUCAGGGACAAAGUUCAGAGACCAGCAGGAUUCAUGCUGAAUAUUUUUAUUCUCUUAUUUGUAAGCUUGCUUUAUGAUUGCUGAGUUUUAAAGCUUUAGUUAUUUUCGUAGAUUCUUCCUAUGAUUUUCUUGUUUUUAAUUAUUUUUUGUACAAUUUAAUUAAUAUUUAAUAAUUGUACUUGAAUUUAAGGAUGCCACGUUAUGAAGUGUUACUUUUGUAUGGAGAUUUAUUUCUGGUGGAAGAGUGUUGCCCUUACACUUUAUAUCUUUUUGCUUCCUCAGAUGCUCUGCUAUUCAGUGAACAGAUUCAGAAAGGUAAAUUUCCAGGGGAGGAACAAUUUGACAGGAGGGAUGGGGACUGAUAUUUCAUGGGUGUUGAACCAUCUGUCCUGCAGACUUUGGGACCCCCAUCAAUGGUGUAACUCUGGGAAACAGUCCUCUAGUGGUGUUUGGGUUCUUUGUCUGUCCCGUGAAUGAACUGGGAGGGAGUUUGAAGGCUUGGAUUGGGGGCAGAGCUUGUCCCUGAGAAGAACCUGCACACCAGUCUGGGUUCCUUUCUUGCCUAUAGACUAUUAAUCUGGUUUCCUGGUUAAUUUUAUAGAUUUUGCUUUCUUUCAUAAAAUUUAUAUACUGCUUGAUUGUGGGGAAAAGCCUCAGAGCCUUACAAUAUCUUACAAAAGCCCUUAAGGAAGAUCCUACAGGGUCAGUCCAAUGUCCAUUUUGUCAAGUUCUCAUGUAUAAGGAAUCUCCCUUGCAUUUUGUUUUCCCUCCACACAAUCUGGAGAGGUUCUUUUGGGGCUUCUUGAGAUUUGCUUGGAUUUUCCCCUCGUGAAGUGUGUUAAAAGGGGCACCCGCAAGCACCCAGUCCCUCCUCCAUCUCCUGCCAGGCUGGUCUCCCAGCAGCAGAGCAAGGCCUGAGCCGCCUCUUCCUCAGAGUUUCAACCUCACCAGCCAUUUCUCGUGCUUCAGCCAUCCCCAUCUCCUCAGAGUUCCCACACUUCUUAUGAGAUAUGCCCCAUUCCAUGAGGAUAGACUUCCCAUUGCACGAGACUCUUGGAAGUACAGUGCAAAGCUCUGCCAAUUUUCCCUCUGCAAUUUGGUUUGUCAGCAUACUUGGAAAUUCCAGUUUCAACAGCUUUCCCCCACCAGUUUAUUUGGGGCAGAUGUUAAACCUUUCUUCAUCCAUCCAGUUCAGAUCCCCAUUUCAUUUGUGGAUUUUGAAUGAUUGUAUUCUGCCAUUUUCUAGUGUGGUUUACCAUUUCUGAUUUUCCCAUGAAAUCAUGGAAUAGCAGUGUCAGGGAACUGACAUCAGAGCUAGAGGCGGAGGGAAGGCUCUCAAAUGAUGCUGGAGAAGGGCCCAGCAGGGAGAGAGGCAGCUCUGCAGAUGGGGAAGCAAAUCAGCGCUACACCAGGGAUAAGGAGGGGCUGAUGGGGGAAUCGGCGAGAGGGCUCCAGGACUCUUCACCGGACACCAGCGGGGAGAGCACGGGUCCCCCGCUACCCACGCCCACCCUGCGCAGAAGACUUCCGUGCAGAGAGAGUAGGAGGAUACUGGGUGUCAAACAACUUUUAUGUUGGAAAAGAUUUAAGAAACGCCCACUGACGGAUUCUGCUAGCGAUUGAGGCAGCCACGAAGUAAAGGGCUGCCCAGACUGAAAGGUUUAGCAAGGCAUCAAAGCCUGGAGAGGCGGCAACUUACGCACGAGCAACCCAUACACAUCACAAGCAGAGUUUGAAAGGAUCCCAAGGAUCAUCUAGUCCAGUCCCCUGCAAUGCGGGAAUUGCAACUAAACACAUUAAUUGUUUUAAUUCCUUAGGCUUAGUGAUAUUACAUUCUCAAGAAUAAUCUUUUGGAGAAUAUUUAACAUCACUACUUAGACCUACAGCUGUUGUCUUUGCAAUUAUUUGUUCUAAGAUUUAAUCUUUUGCUUGAAAUAAGGAAACAACAGAUGCUAUGUUAUGGUGAUGUUUUGUAAAAAAGAUUUAAUUUAUUUAGCUAUUGCAUUGUAGCCAGUUAAGCUUGUCUUUUUGCUUCCUCAGAUGUUCAGUCAUUCAGAAAUCUUCAGAGAGGUAAAUUUCACAUGGAGACCCCAAUUCACAAGAGUCUCUUUUGUACAGCUUGACUCUGGCCCCUGCGGUUUGUACCACAAAGGAAGAGAGGGUGGAUUUGAAGGUGCAGAAGGGGAGGGAGAGAAACUGCCCAGAAGGAUCAGAUAAAAGAGGGAAGAGUUUCAUUCCUGCCUAGAGAGAGUUGGGUUGCUUUUCCAUGUGACCUUUUUCAGGACUGGUUGCCACAUGUCCUCUUUUUCUCAGACAGGUCCUCUACUUUCAUGAUUAAAAUUCUCCCCUGGGUGGAUUUUUAAAAUUUUUAUAUUUGGCAAAAUGUUUCAGGUUGUUUGGUUUGGUUUACAGUAACCCAUGAAAUUUUUUUCUCAUGCAUUAGACUCAGAUCUAAGGCACCCAGCUAAGCUAGCCUAGAGCAAAGAAUCGCAACAGAGCAGCAUCUUCAGCUAGCCACAUCCUGUAUAAAACCCUUCUCUUGUGGCUGAACUAAAAGGACGCUGGCUCAGCUACAAGAUCUUGGAGGAGGAGUCUGGGAGGGCAAGAGUUAACACCCCCCUGCCCUUAAGGAGAGUCCAUAUGUACAUGUUUAACAGUUUAAUAAAUUGUUCUGUGCACACUUGCGUUCACAAAGAUGUGAACAUGAGCCCAAAUACUUUCAUGUGGCAAGCAAGGGAGCAAUAUGUAUUGUUGUUGUUGUUGUUGUUGUUGUUGUUGUUGUUGAAAGUUAAGAACAUUGCUACUAGCAGUAUAUCACAGCUUCGAAAGCCUACAUAGAGUAGGGGUAUUUAAAAUGAGUGUCGUCAUAGCGAUACAUGGUUAAGAGUAGAAGUUGGCAAAUGUGUCCUCUUUUUUGCUCUUCAAAAUAUGGCAACUCUACACUUGCCUAUCAUGACUGUCUCAGCCCCUGAUUGGUAACCUUUUGAAUUAUUCUCCCUUCCCCCAGGGAACUAGUCUUAUGGUAUAUAUUAAUUCCAAAAGAGAAGCAUGGAUUAAUAAGUCCUUUGUAAAAUUGCCCUGCCACCUGACUCCUCUUCCCUGGCGGCAAGCCCCAAACUUCCAAGAUGGUGGGGAGGAAGGCAAGGAGAGACCAAGUGGGUGAGAGAGAUGGAGAGCAGGAAUAAACAGGCUCCCCACUUAAUCCGAUAUUCACUUGUGGGCACGAGGGCCCAGAACGUAACCCCCUAUACAGUAUGUGGUUUUGUGUUGUAUUUUUAUUCUGGGAACAACCCCGAGACCGAUGGAUGAAGGGCAGUAGGUAAAUGUGAUGAUGAUGAUGAUGAUGAUGAUGAUGAUUAGAACAGGGGGGUCCUCAUCCCCCACCCUGACCCAGAGGUCCCCAAAGGCCAUUUCCCACAGAUAUUAUCAGAGGAAAGCAGCUUCUCUCCUCUCCUGCCUCCUCCAAUUCUCCUCUCUUUCUUCUUAGAUAACACAGAAGAGCUGAGUAAAAGGUUUACUGGGUGGUUUUUCCCCUUAGAAAAUGCCUGGGUUGAGAGGAGGGCAGGCACAAUACACAUCGAAUAUAAGAAAGUGAAGGAAACUGAUUUAAAAACCAACAAGGAAGAUAUUUAUUCUGAUGAAAGUCUGCAAGGAGUCUCAGUCUUGCAUGUGAUCCAAAUAAAUCCCAUUCAUCUGAAAUGGAAUCUGGGUUUUUUGGGGUUUAUUAUUAUUAUCAAGAUGUCCGUUUCUGUCUCUCAGCUGACUCUGCCUAAUCUUCUCUUUCCCUCAUCCUCUCCCCAACAGCAAAUGUCACUCUGGAUCCAGAAACAGCCCAUCCCUGCCUCAUCCUGUCCGAGGAUCAGAAAAGCGUGAGAAGGGGAGAGAAACCUCAAGCCCUGCCUGAUAAUCCUGAGAGAUUCAGUGACUGGCUUUGUGUGUUGGGACGUGAGAGAUUCACAGCAGGCAGACAUUUCUGGGAAGUCACUGUGGGAAUUGGGGAAUUGUGGGUUUUGGGGGUUGCCAGGAAGUCUGUGAGGAGAAAGGGCGUCUUUAACUUCAGUCCUGAGGAAGGGAUCUGGGCUGUGGAGAAGUUGAGAGAGAAGUACUGGGCCUGGACAUCCCAUUUUCCUUCUCUUCUGUCCCUCAGUGAGGAGCCCAGGAGGAUCCGGGUGACUCUGGACUAUGAAGGGGGACGUGUGUCUUUUUCUGACGCUGACUCAGGAGCCAAACUCUACACGUUCUCAGGAGCCUCGUUCUCUGGAGAAACCCUCCUCCCUUUCUUUCAUCUGUGUGGAAAUUAUAAAACCCACCUCAGUAUCUCCUGAGGAGACUAAAUCUGCCUCUCAGGCCCAGCAGAAGUUUCUCUCCAGACCAGAGAGACUGAUAUAAAAAACAUUUACCCGCCAAGAGCACGUUGGGCAGUUUUCCAAGAGCCCUUUGAGAGGAUUCAUUCCAGUCAAAAUCAGCAGAAAUAACAAAACAAAAAUGGGUUGCUUUUGCUUUGCAUUUUCCUUCCUUUUCCCGGAAUUCCCUCUGCAGCUCACUUCUUAGAGAGACAGUCACACUUUGAGGAGUCCUAAUAAAUUUUCUCACCUUCAAUCUUGUUUUCCAUUUGAGAUGUCUGAUUUGGCAGAGGACGAGACUCUUAAUCUCAGGGUUGUGGGUCUGAGCCCCACGUUGGGCAAACGUUUCCUGCACUGCAGAGGGUGAGACUAGAUGACCCUCAGGACCCCUCGCAAUUUCGCAAUUCUAGGAAACCUUCCUCUCCCCACAAGACCUUAUGCAGCUGUGAAAAUGCAUGCAUCAUUGGAUUAAUAGAUGACUAAAAAACGAACCCCUUCACCCACGUCAGGCAGGAUAGCUCCUUGCUCUGGAGACCUCAGACGGGAAGAGAAAGAAAAAGAAAUUGAACAGGGCAUCAUCUUCAAAUGGCCUCUGCAAAUACAGCCUCGCCAUCUCCACACGUCAGAAGUAAACCUUGCAUUGAGUGGGGCUUCUGCUCAGUUAAAUGUGUUUUGAGUGGAUGCAUUAACGUUCCAUAUUUACAGGCUGGAUUCUGUAUAUUGGGGGCAUCAAAUGGGGUGUCCUCUGGAUAAUGUUGGACUCCAACUCCCCUUUGACCCAUCCAGCAUGGCCAGGGGGCAGAGAGGGUGGGAGCUGCAGUCUGGCAGCUUCCGGAAGAGGCCCCAUGGGCUGUACUGCCCUAUACAUUACGCAGGGCACCUUCCCUGUGUUCCUGAGCCCCACCCCAAUACACAGUGCUCCCCCAAGGAGCGUCAUUUCGGCAGCAGGUACAUCUGAUUUCUCUCCUUAGAUACUAACAGCUGGAACAAUACAUGCCUGUGGAAUUGACCCCUCUCAAAGAUCAGGCAGGACUCACUCUGGCUCCACUAUCA